UUAAUAUAUUUAGAGCACUUAGAACAUACUAAGUCCUAUUUUUGUUAUUAUUAUUUCUUUAGUAUUCAUAAAACCUCUAAAAAUAAUGGGAAAGGCAACAUGGAAGGAGACAGGAAGUUGACAGCACCUAAUUAAAGGCCAUCAGCUGGGCACAAGAAGAGCAGAAAAUGAUCUGAACGUCAGAGCUGACCACAAGCUGCAGAUGACUCAGUACUUCAGUGAACAAGCUCAACGUAAGGCUGGGGAACUGGACUGCAAGAGUGACAGGCAGGUUCCUGGCUGUGAACCUUCUGCUCCGUGAUUCAUGACUCACACCUUUCCAGGGGCAUAGACUCUACACUUGGUCAUCUCAUCUUUUUAAAGGAUGUGGGAAGCGGUCCUGGGUCCAGAGGCAUAGAAACAGUGACCUGGGACUAUUUAUGUAAGAGACUGGAAGGAGUUGGAAGCAAGGUCAUCACGGCCCUAUGUUUAAUUUAUGAAGCAGCUGUUGGUCAUGUCUUCAGCAGCCUGAAUGGAAGGAAAUAGACCAGGAGGUGCAGCAUGAACAGAAGCAGCACUGGGUGGUGAGUCAGUAAACUUGUGAUUCCACUGUGUGACCCAGGGAAGUUUCCUCUCCGUUCCAGACCUCAGGAGCUCCAUAUGUAGAGUGAAGAUCCAGGCCAACCUAUGGUCUUGAGGAGGUGACAGCGACAAAUCGAAAUGCGUUUGGCUGCAAGUAACUGGCAAUUCAGCUGACUUGGCACGAACAAGCAAAGGUUUAUUUUCCCCACAGAAUAAAAGUUCAAUGGCUCAAGAAAAAAACCAGGCUCUUCCUGACAUCUCUGCAAUUCUCUUGGCUUCUCCUCAUGGUUUCAGGAUGGAUGCCUCAGUCCUUCUCAGGGUAGGAAGAAGGAAGAAGGACAUCACCGGUCACCUCUGUCCCUGCAAUUCCCAAAUUAAAGCUUCCCAGAACACUCAGAAGAGUAUCUCAUUGGGCAGAGCUGAUCACAUGACUGAUCACAUGCCUGCUCAGCUGCGAGGGAUGUUGGGAAAGGAAGGACCUGGGCAUUGUUGCAAAAGCUAAGAGGGAGGAGGGGAUGGUCUUGGGUUGGCCAACCACAGUGUCUCAGGGCAGCAAACCCCCAGUCCUGGCCCCAGUGACCUCAGCAUCCAGAGCCACUAUUGUCUGCCUGUGGCCUGCCCAGCUAAAGUUUAAGUCGUGAGAACAAGACGUGAGUUUGAAUCCUGACUCUGACAUUGGCUUUCAGUGGGACUGUGGGAGAGACUUCACAUCUCACCUGUACAGAAGAUGAAGUCCAACUCUUACCGGUGGCUUCACGGCCGGCUUCCUGGGCUCACAGCCACCUCAGAAGACCCUGCCCUGGCGUGUGGUGGCUCUCCUCUGCUGAAGCAGCCCCCAAAGGAGCUGGAAGCUGUCUGCUGCCUGCUCUCUCCAUGGCUGACAAGCAAAGCCUUCCUGAAGGGGCUCUGGGUGGCACAUCUCCAAGUGUACCCCUUUAUUUUUGUCUCCAGAUCUCUGUUUACUUGGUAAAUAUCUCCUGGUAACCCAUUUUGGGUCAAAACUUUAGUAUACUGGCAAUGUGGAGGUGAGGCAGUACAGCAGAAGGAUGAAGAGCUCUGGUUCUGGAGUCAGUGCUUCAUCAGGUCAUUGCUGUGUGGCCUUGAGCAAGUUACUUCUCCUCUCUGAGCCUCGGUUUUGUUUUAUGUGAAGUAAGGACAACAGUGUUUACCUCAUGGUGCUAUUGUGAGGAUGAACAGGUCAGGAAAAGGCUCAGCAGAGGGCCUGACACUUGGUAAUCAUUCAGCAAAUGGUCAUCAUUGUUAGAAUAUCAAAACUCUGAAUGAAUAAUGAACUUUGGUGGAAUGAAAAUAAAAGGCUGCCUCUUCCCUGAA
This is a long non-coding RNA of Manis pentadactyla (Chinese pangolin), 1893 nucleotides long. RefSeq lists it as uncharacterized. The record is from RefSeq and is a predicted model, not a curated record. The transcript has 2 exons. NCBI's taxonomy places the organism in Eukaryota, Metazoa, Chordata, Mammalia, Pholidota, Manidae.